AUAGCCCAGUGUUGGUUCUGGACUUUGUCUAGUGUUGUACCUGUAUGAUCAUGUUUUCUGGUUAAGCUGCCAUGGAUACUGUGAAGACUUUCCUCACUAUCCUUUAUGUGCUUCUAUACAGCGGUUUCUGCUCAGAAAUGAAUUGUAAUGAUGGAGAAUGUAAACCCGUUAAGGACACCACACAAGUAUUCUGUGAGUGCCAUAAGAUGUACCGCGGUCCAGCUUGUAUUAUUGACUAUCCCACUCUUGAAAGUAAAAUCAAUGGUAUAAUAUAUAAACCAGUCCCUGAUCUGACAACAAUUUAUUUUAGUGUCAAGGAGCUGAAGGACUACACACAAGAAAUAGUUGAGUCUGUCCAACAUGACAUCCAGUGGUCACAAAUAGCUGUGAAAUACAGCAAUGUGAUUCAUAAAUUUAGAAACAUCAGCACAUUACAUACACAACUUAAAAAUGGUACAAUAACCCAACGCCACUAUGUGUCUGAAGUUGGAGCUCAGUUCACAGGGGGAAACUCUUUUCAGUUUCAUCUCACAGACUUUCACCACAUGAUGAUGGGCACUGGAUUUGGAGACAAACACAACAUUCUGGAUAUUUUUCACAAGUCGCUGGUCCAGGACUCCCAAAAACAGUCUGCUGAGCCAGUAGAGUGCACAAAAUACUACACUGACCAGAUUGAUUAUUUUGUGCGCUACAUGUUUGCCCUUGAAAAGGAAGCUGUUUUAGCUUGGUCGAAAUAUUUAAUGGUCACUGGAAAAUCAGAGAACUUUGAUUUUGUUGAGAAGGUUUUUAAGGACUAUGUCUCACAGCAGUGGAGACUCUUCAAUAAAAAUGGAUGUGGCCCUCUAAAGGCUGCAGAUCUUCAGAACAACCAUUGCAAGGAGCAGUACCACAGCACAGCCCAGCAGCAGGUGAAAAUUAAAUGUGGUGGAUUAUUGAAGCCCUUCCCUGAGUCUGUGGGGUGUUCUGGAGGACAGUGGAGCGCUUUACCUGUGUGCUACUCUGAGCAGGUAAAUGGGCGAGUUGAGUGCAAAUCUGAAGGUGGAGUCACCGUCUGUAAGGCCUCAUGCUCGCCUGGCUGGGUCUCCGCCACACACCCUCUGCCUGCUGAGUAUAAAUGCUCACAGCCGCCCUGCCCAUCCUUCACACCACACACGUGUGACAACUGCACACAGAACAGUGUGUGUAAGGACCAUGAGGUCUGCACUGGCUCCAUUGGCACAUGUCUUGAAACAUGCCUGGUUAAACCCUGUGGAGUGAACGCCAAAUGCUCGUCCUCCAAUCAUGACAGGAGCUGCACUUGUGUGAGCCCGUGGAAAGGAGACCCAUACCAAGGCUGCAGGAGUCAAGACCUCCAGUGGGUUCAGACCGAAGGAGUGCCCAGCAAUGCUGUUCGUUCUAAUGCCCAACUUGUGGUAUGCAAAGCCAUUGGACCUGACAGCGGGUGGCACAGUGGGUUUGUAAAGGAUCAACGCUGUAAUUAUGAAUAUGAUGGAAGAAAGCAUCAGGCCAAUAGCUAUGAGGUUCUGGUUGAUCCGUGUGGAGGAAGUGGUUGGAAAUGGAUGGAGGGGGAACAGCAGAACAUGGUCUCAUAUGAUGAAUCAAAGAGGUUUCCUGGAGUCAAAUACUAUGUGUGCAGUGGGAAAAGUGAUGACCUUGUAGGGAAGCUUUUCAACACGCGACAAGGAUUUAUGUGCCAUAUUGCCAAGGACAAUACCAGAGAUGGAAGUUUCUAUGCUCUGGUUCCACAACCAUGUAUCUGAAGACACUUCACCGUGAUUCACUGUUCAGUUCUUAAGUUUCUCUAGUUCAUUUAAAGCUGAAACUCGGUGGAGGUGCUGUAUUAACCUUUUGAAAGACAGACUGGACCCAGAUGCACAGAUGGAAAGGAGUAGCCAAGUCUCACAAAAAAAUUAAGUAUGUGGCGCAAACAGAUGUGGUAAUUGUUAGUACUUUUUAUUAAGUUGUUUUGCAGUGGGAUCUUUUUUAGGAUUAAAUAAAGGUAUAAAAAUAGUUUGAUGAUAUAUAUGUACAGUAUUAAGAAAAUGAUUGUGUAAUUACAUAGAGCAAUAAAAUGUUUGCUUUAAUGCAAAAAUUAAAAUGUUAUCACCACCCACCUUUAAUGCAUGUUUUUUCCUCUAUUAAUUGUCUUUUAAUGAAAGUGAAUGGCAGAAUAAAUAUUCUUCCUUACGUGGUACACAA
Molecule: long non-coding RNA, 2199 nt
Organism: Cyprinus carpio carpio
Lineage: Eukaryota; Metazoa; Chordata; Actinopteri; Cypriniformes; Cyprinidae
Source: Ensembl